GACGAACGCUGGCGGCGUGCUUAACACAUGCAAGUCGAGCGGAAAGGCCACUUCGGUGGUACUCGAGCGGCGAACGGGUGAGUAACACGUGAGUAAUCUGCCCCUGGCUUUGGGAUAGCCACCGGAAUCGGUGAUUAAUACCGGAUACGACCACUUCUCGCAUGGGAUGGCGGUGGAAAGUUUUUUCGGCCAGGGAUGUGCUCGCGGCCUAUCAGCUUGAUGGUGAGGUAAUGGCUCACCAUGGCUUCGACGGGUAGCCGGCCUGAGAGGGUGACCGGUCACACUGGGACUGAGACACGGCCCAGACUCCUACGGGAGGCAGCAGUGGGGAAUAUUGGACAAUGGGCGGAAGCCUGAUCCAGCAACGCCGCGUGAGGGAUGACGGCCUUCGGGUUGUAAACCUCUUUCAGCAGGGACGAAGCGCAAGUGACGGUACCUGCAGAAGAAGCACCGGCCAACUACGUGCCAGCAGCCGCCGUAA
RNAcentral lists this ribosomal RNA (481 nucleotides) under uncultured bacterium. RNAcentral's name for it is "partial 16S ribosomal RNA". It matches the Rfam family "Bacterial small subunit ribosomal RNA", at positions 28 to 523 of the family's 1533-position model. The record is from RNAcentral.